GGGGGUAUAGCUUGGUGGUAGAGCACAUGCUUUGCAUGCCUGAGGUCCUAUGUUCAGUCCCUAGUACCUCCA
RNAcentral lists this transfer RNA (72 nucleotides) under Camelus bactrianus (Bactrian camel). It matches the Rfam family "tRNA". Rfam says of the family: Transfer RNA (tRNA) molecules are approximately 80 nucleotides in length. Their secondary structure includes four short double-helical elements and three loops (D, anti-codon, and T loops). Lineage: Eukaryota; Metazoa; Chordata; Mammalia; Artiodactyla; Camelidae. RNAcentral also lists the same sequence under 2 other names. The record is from Rfam by way of RNAcentral.